RNAcentral lists this transfer RNA (73 nucleotides) under Natronomonas aquatica. It matches the Rfam family "tRNA". Rfam says of the family: Transfer RNA (tRNA) molecules are approximately 80 nucleotides in length. Their secondary structure includes four short double-helical elements and three loops (D, anti-codon, and T loops). Further hydrogen bonds mediate the characteristic L-shaped molecular structure. tRNAs have two regions of fundamental functional importance: the anti-codon, which is responsible for specific mRNA codon recognition, and the 3' end, to which the tRNAs corresponding amino acid is attached (by aminoacyl-tRNA synthetases). tRNAs cope with the degeneracy of the genetic code in two manners: having more than one tRNA (with a specific anti-codon) for a particular amino acid; and 'wobble' base-pairing, i.e. permitting non-standard base-pairing at the 3rd anti-codon position. The record is from Rfam by way of RNAcentral. Lineage: Archaea; Methanobacteriati; Methanobacteriota; Halobacteria; Halobacteriales; Natronomonadaceae.
AGCCCCGUGGUGUAGCGGCCAAUCAUAGCGGCCUUUGGAGCCGUUGACGGCGGUUCGAAUCCGCCCGGGGCUA